AGAGUUUGAUCCUGGCUCAGAUUGAACGCUGGCGGCGUGCUUAACACAUGCAAGUCGAGCGAGAAAGUUCUCUUCGGAGAAUGAGUAGAGCGGCGCACGAGUGAGUAACGCGUGGAUAAUCUACCCUGAAGAUCGGGAUAACAGUUGGAAACGACUGCUAAUACCGGAUAUCCUGCAUAUUUAGCUUUAUGUGGUAAAGGCGGCCUCUAUUUAUAAGCUGCCGCUUUGGGAUGAGUCCGCGUCUCAUUAGCUUGUUGGUGGGGUAAUGGCCUACCAAGGCAACGAUGAGUAGCUGGUCUGAGAGGAUGAUCAGCCACACUGGGACUGAAACACGGCCCAGACUCCUACGGGAGGCAGCAGUGGGGAAUAUUGCGCAAUGGGGGAAACCCUGACGCAGCGACGCCGCGUGCGGGAAGAAGGCCUUCGGGUCGUAAACCGCUGUCAGGAGGGAAGAAACUGUUAGGGUAUAAUACGCCCUUUCACUGACGGUACCUCCAAAGGAAGCACCGGCUAACUCCGUGCCAGCAGCCGCGGUAAUACGGAGGGUGCGAGCGUUAAUCGGAAUCACUGGGCGUAAAGCGCACGUAGGCGGCGCAUCAAGUCAGGCGUGAAAGCCCUCGGCUCAACCGAGGAAUUGCGCUUGAAACUGGUGUGCUGGAGUCUCGGAGAGGUUGGCGGAAUUCCAGGUGUAGGAGUGAAAUCCGUAGAUAUCUGGAGGAACACCGGUGGCGAAAGCG
This 737-nucleotide ribosomal RNA is filed under the name uncultured bacterium. Its description in RNAcentral is "bacterial SSU rRNA". It matches the Rfam family "Bacterial small subunit ribosomal RNA", at positions 8 to 723 of the family's 1533-position model. The record is from RNAcentral.